Molecule: long non-coding RNA, 7656 nt
Filed under: Ananas comosus (pineapple)
Lineage: Eukaryota; Viridiplantae; Streptophyta; Magnoliopsida; Poales; Bromeliaceae
Description: long non-coding RNA (ACOM_LNC026002)
Source: RNAcentral
GCAGCAGCUAAAGCAGCAGCUAGCAGCAGCAGCCUGCUGCAAGCUGAGCUGCAGGGGCAGCAAGAAAAGAAAGAAAAGAAAAGAAAGAAAGGAAAGAAAGAAAGAUAGAAAGGAAGAAAGAGAAGAAAGAAAAGAAAGAGAAGAAAGAAAAGAAUGCAUUAUGAAUAUAUGAUAUAUGAAUGCAUUAUGAUCAAUGCUAGAUGAUGUAUAAUGAUAAUCCGAUGAUGAACAUGCUAGAGGCAUAUGAAUAUGUUGUAGAUCAUGCUAGAUACAUAUAAUUGUCGAUAUGUGAACGUGAAAGUUAAAUGCAUAAUUAUGCUAAAUUCAUAUGUUCAAAUACAUGAUAUAUCAAUGUUGAACCUGUAAAUGCCAAGGGCACGGCACGUAAGCUGAAUACGAAUUGUGAACAUAGAAGCUAAAGCCUACAUAAGUGUUGCCACAUAAAAGUGGAAGUUUAAUGCCUAUGUCUAAACAUAUAUAUAAGUGAAUGUAUUAUAGUUCAAGCUAUAUGAAUGUCGAUAAUUCUAAUUGACUGGAAACCUCGAUGGUAACAAGAUGAGUGAGAAUAUGAAAACUAUGAACCUCAUGUUAAAUCCCUAAGAAUUGGGUAUAAAUCGACAACUCCAGUUAAGUAGAAAUCUUGACGGUGACAAAGUAAAUGAAAAUGUGCAAAUUAUAAUCCUAGGCGUAGAUAACUAGAAUAAUAAAUAGAUCGAGUGGCAUGAACCUAAUGUAUAAACAUAGGUCGAACAUGAACCUAGUGUCAUUGGACAUAGGUCAAGUAAGUAAACCUAGAGUUGAGAUCUAGGUGAAAUAACAUAGAACCUAGUGUGAUUGGAUACCUAGGUCGUGACAUAUUGUAACACUUAGUAAAAUUGGACUAAGUUAUGCAGUAUAGUGGUAGAAAGACCACAUAAAGAUGAUUGAUAUUUUAGACCUAGAAAGGUUUGCAAAUAGGGUCAAAGAGUAAACCCUUAAGUUAUAUGAAAGGAUCCCGGAAUCUCAAGAUCUUGUGAAAACUUGGUAUUCAUGGCUAGGGCAAGUGUGGUCGACGAUUUUCGCCGCCUGCAAAGGGUUGAAUACCAAGGGCGGAAUUGGGUGUGUGCGACCGCAUUUCGCCGCCCAGGCGGGCUGACGCAUUGUUUCGGCGUGUGCGACGAUUUCGGCCGCAGAUGUUAAGCUAAGUUUGUGGAUCCUACCGCCUUGUGACUGAAACCACACUGUCGUGGCGUUGCGACGAAUUUCCGCCGCCGGGGUUGGCUAAGUCAAACUAGGCCGUUGUUGGUGAUGGUGCAUCCGUGUCGCCGCCAAAACGGCUAUGGACAAGGAGUAUUGUGAUGCUUUGCCCAGCUGAGGUGCAUGUGAGAGUUCCUUCACCUCGAGCUAGACAGUGCGCGACUAUCCGCGAUUGAUGACUCAAGACCGAGUCGGGUGGCUAGAAUGACUAAGGUAAAGUAAUCUCUUAGGAAAAUCGCCAGUGAGCAGCGAUAUGAUAGAGAUAAAGAAUAAGAAAAGAAACUAAUGAAUCGUAAAUGCUAAUAAAGACGGCUACAAGCUAAAGAAUGGUUAAAGAUAUAAAGUUUUAAAAGGACCCUUUUCGGUAAAUCUACUUGUUACAUAGUUUGCAUGGAUUACAUAUUGCAUAUCGCAGAGCGAAGGUAAUGGUUUAUUAAAAUUGUAUCACUCGAAUAUCUAUCUAUCAUGUUCCGUUUAUCUAACGGCUGCAGUUUGCUCUUUGGAACCUGGUGGUUCGAGCUCUUUUCUUGGGUGCCGUCACCACUGGGAAUCAACCUUUCCUAUUAUUCUCAAACCCCCUGUGUUGUUUUGGGGGUACAGUCUCGCACCUGGUGGAGCGGGCGCGGGGCGCGAGGACAGGCGUAUGCUUUCGUAAUAGCGGCCCUAUCACCGAGACAAGAUAGUAGUACCCUGAAAGCGUUCUAGCUCAGAGUUCAGUAUAAAGAAACAAACUUGUAAUCGAAUUUGUAUAAAUUGUAUAAGUAUUAAAAUUGUAUAAAGGCUUAUGUAAAAUUCUUAAAGACUGAAUGAAAUUUUUCUAACUUCUGUAAAUUGUGAGAUGAUGCUUUGUAAUAGCUUAGUUAGCCUUUUAAUGUUUUUGAUACUUAUGCAAUCUACAUACUGCUCACCUUUCCUUGUUGGACCUCUCUGUUUGCAAUUUUUAGAUUGGUUAACCCUACAACGUGACAGGCAAAAGGCUCUGUCCGUUCGGCGUCUGUCCGACUAGGGCCAAUCCGACCAAAUUGCAGGACCUCGGACGUGACAGAUUAAGGUGGCUAUCAGAGGCAUAAAGUAGAGAAUGAGAAAAUAUUUUAGACUGACUUUUAGAGAAACGCUAGAUAGUAAAACCAAAUAGAGAAUAAGGUUCCGUGAGAGGCGAGACUUAUGAUUUAGUGUGCGAAACUUAACUGAUUGGGUUUGUCGUAAAACCUUAACGACGGACUAUUAGGGGUAGACUUGAAGGUGUGUUAUUCCAGCUCCGAAGGAAUUUUUCAUCCGUUGGCCGUACCGACACAUGAACCGAGUGAAUUGAAUAAACCCCUGCGUGACCUUUCGCCUGAUUGGCUUUUGAGCCGUUGUUUAGUGGUCUCGGCUUUUAAAGCAUCUGAGGGUCGAGAACUAUAAUCGUGUCCGUUGUUUUAGGAAUCGAUGCACGCGUAGGCGAUCUCGUCAGAUCGGACGGGAAGGACCCAAUGGUGUCCAUCCUGAGCAUCCCGACGUGAGCAGAGACUUCAGAGCUCGUGACAGUUGGCCCACACUCAGAGUGUUGAGAGCAACAGGCUGAUUAGUGCAGCGUCAGCAGGAGCUCCCUGCAUCAACGAAAGCGGAUUCAAGAGAGCUCCAGGAACACUGGUGGACUAGUUUAGUGACGCGCAACAGUUUCGACUCGUCGUCGUACCGGCCAGGAGUCGCGGCGGAUACAUUAUCCAGUCCGGGUCGAGCAUCCGACUGCUGUUAGGUUUCAGAGAUGGAAGCGAAAGGGAGCGUGCUUUGGCGGCUCUCAUGACCUCAGAAGUUUGAUACCUCCUACUUUCGAAUGGAAGGUAACAUAGACCUCAUGGACCGUAGAUUGGGAUCGACUCCAUGAGAGACUUUGUUUUGAGGAUCUUUCAUCUAUGGAGCGAUGACAAAAGUAACAGCUACCGUGCAUUGUUUGCAACGGUCAGAACCGAAGGUGUGGUGAAAGACAAUCAAACGGAUAUCGAUCGCCUAGUCUUCCUUCUAUGGUUUGGGAAGAGUUCGGGAAUUCAAUGCGUUCAAUUAAUUUCUCCGAUAGCUGAACAAAGAACACGCUUCAAGAACAGGUUUCAGAACUCACGAAAGGAGAAACGCCUCUGUGAGGGAAUACGACGGCGAGUUUCCCGUAUCGUGAGCUGUUGUGUCCCCGAAUGUGGUACCAGAUGACAAGAGAUCGACUGAUUUGUUUUUCUGUAACGAGGCACUUGCGGCCUGAUGAUUUUUGAAGCAGUAUAAUCCAAGUUCAGACCUUUUGCUCGAAUCGUGGAUCGUGGCCCUAUGGAUAAAACCAAGCAUGCAUCUGGUGCGGCAGGACGGCGAAUCGUAUUAGCAAGAAAAAAGGAAAGAACGGCCAGCAAGUGGGUAGAUGGUCAGUCAGUUCUCAGCAGACCAGUUAAGUGAGUUUCGCCUCUAGCGAUCGCCUGAGCUCGCGGACUAUCGCAGUCGGGCUCUGCGGUCCUGUGUGAUUAUUUGUGGGCUCCUUACUACCACAAGCAGUGUUAAGCAAUGAAUGGCAAUGCUUCAGGUGUGGCAGUCCGGUCAUUUGCGCUGAGACGCGUGUCCGUAGGGCGCUUAUCCUAGCCCUGACGAAUGGCGAACGGGCAUUCAUUCCUCUCUGCGGACAGUCUGGAGUGUGUCACCUGCGGCACGGGUUGGAGUAGACGACCAGAGGAUUAAGGCAAACCCGAUGGGGGUUCGCGACAGGAAGCAAUGGUCGUUGAUAGGCGAUCCAUAAUGGAUGGAACUUGCUGCCGACUGGAGUCAUUGUGGCAUUAUGAGUUAAUGUACAGCAAGUAUGUCUCCUGCAUUUAAUGUUAAAUUUAGUGCCAUUGAUGCAUUGGUUAAUUAGCGUAGUUGUUACUGCUAAAUGUGCGGUAACGUAUCACAAGAGACCAAGCAGAUAGGUAACAUAUCCCAUUAUGCUUGUGAUGGGGGAACGUAAUAACCUGUUGAGUGCAGUAAGAGUUUACGAGGCACUACAGCAACUCGCUGGUGAUAGCUUGUGAAUAAAGAGUGGAACUCCGGUAACAAGGUCAAUGUUGACGCAAUCUCUCAACUAAUGCGCGAGUUGACUGAUUGCGAGAGUCUACGUCGGAACUGUUCGUGGAACUCUGGCUGAGAUCGAAUCGUUUUGCAGAUUGUUCGCGAUAGAUCGAAAACAUGAAAGUAGACAUCAAACUGGUGUGAUGAAAUGCUCGGUCACCCCCCCCAUUGGCAGCGUGCGUGCACGCGACCUAUAGUACUUCGAUUGAGGUAAAGGCGUCGUGCUCGGUGUAAUCGCUGGCAAUAGCAAGAUUGCCUAUGCUAGACCUUAGUAUGCACGGCGAUAGAGUCGUGUAGAGCGCAUCGAGUAUAGUACUCGUAGAGUGCUGAUUUAAUUCAGGGUGCCGUGAUGUGCUGGCAAUAAGCAGCUCUUAGCAUUGCUAGGUUGCAAGCACGCCCAUGAUCACGUCGUAGGGCAUGGUGGCUCGCACUAACGUUGCUUAUGAUCGAUAAGUGGUAGCGUGUACUCUGUAAGAGCAUGCCGUGUAGGACGAGCGACGGCCGGGUAGUGUUGUGACUGAUCCGUGCCAAGGACCCUCGUGUGGAUUGUGGAUCCUGGGCCCUUGGGCAGCGCAGUACUGCGAAGGCAGCGGCCGCGGAUACUUACGGGUGGCGAGAUUUUGGUCAGCGACGGGUAGUUCGAAGUCAUAGACUGCAGUCACGUGGAAUGCCACGUGUUCGAUUCGGAAAUCGAUGAUGCAGCUGAGAGUGCGGUUGUGACCCAACCCAGGCCUUGGCGUGGUUUGUCUUGUGCUCCCGAUUGUAGCAGAUAUGGCGAUUAUCUCAAAUGAAACGGUGUCUCGUGAUAAAAUGGGUUCUAUACGCCUUGCGAGCGAGGGACACUUUGAUUAAGUGAUAGGAUCUAGGCAAUCCGCGCGACCAAUUUGCGACAAAUCUGUGGUAAUUGAAGACAGUAAUUACCACAUGUGCAUCUGAAGUGAGUGUUCGAACAUAGUCCAAAAGUAAAGGAAGUGUAUAGGGACCGUGAGAGCGCAAGGCUCGGUCCUCGUGAAUAUUUAGUCAGAAUUGCACAGAUAAGCAUCUGAACUGACAGCUGGAUUGAAACGCGAAUAAAGGGUUCGUAUAGACUGAUUAGGCAGGAUCAUGGUAGCAAGAAUGAAAUUGCAGAAGCUACGAAAUGAUAUGAUUUUACCAUGUUGAUGAUUGUUGGAUAUCUUAUCUCGGCCUCCGUUAGGGUAAAUAGAAGAAUAUGUACUAAGUUUCGCAAGGACGAAACUUUUGUUAACGGGAGCAGAUCUUGUAUAUAUAUGGAACCUUGAUUGCGAUGCUAACUUGAUCCUAGGGGAUCAAAGGAAGAUUGCGGCUGGUUGGACCCUCAUCCCGAUGUGAUUUUGGACGCGUGAGAAUGAUUUCGGAGAUUAAUAAGUGUUUCGGCGCAAAUUGGGUGCGAAGCGAAAUUAUAAAGAAAAUUGCGGAUUUCCGACUGCUAAACUUUUGAUUAAAGAUAAAGGAGCAAAAGUAAUAUAAAAUCGUAUGAUAUCACCAUUUGAUUGGAUUAAGGGUGUAAAACAUAAGUCUGGAAUGAACUCGUGUUGAAACGGAUAGCGAAAACCAGAAGAUUUAUGAUUUUGUAAGAACGGACUUGAGCAAUUAGCAGAAAAUUGCGACAUGUCAAAAAUUAUGAAAAUUGGGCAGACGAUGUUCAGGAAUUUUUUAUGAGCUAUAGUUUGAAGUUUCAGAUUAUUUCUGACACCCGACGAGAGAAAUUGAUCCGAAAGCUAUCGUGAUAAAGAUUCAGUCGGUACAGUUCGGCACAUGACCAAAACGGGUCCGGAACUGAAUGUUAAAAUUUUUUUGGACUUGUUUAAGUAAAACCGACAUGCCUGUCAAAAUUUGAGCUCAAUCGACAAUUUGAAGACGGAAGUAAUUUGAAAUCCCGUUCCUAAGUUGUAAUACUCGAGGCAAAAUGGUAAUAUCCUAAGGCUUAGUGGAAUUUCCACUAAACCUGCCAGGCAGCCCCUCCACUCCUAUCCUUCACCUGCCAUAUUAGAGAGAGAAGAGAGGGACAGAGGAAGAGCAAGAAGAAAAGAGAAGAAAAGAAGAAAAAAAGAAGAAGAAAGAAAGAAAAAGAAAGGAAAGAAAAGAAAGAAAGAAAGGAAAAUAAGAAAAAAAAGAAAAGAACGAGAAGAUGGAACUGAAAUAAAAUGAAUUGCUCGCUAGUUUGAUUUUUGACGCUCCGACGAAUCGCACUUUUGCAGGAUAAAGGUCCUACCUGUAAAUUGAACUAUGUACAAACCUAAUUGAAGGUAAAAGCAACGCGUUGGCGAAGUCCGUCGGCAAAUCCGUCGAGCCUUAUGCAAAGAUAUUCGCAAAAGAAACAUUUUCGCGCCCAAUUGUCGGAGCGGCGGUCGCGACUCGUUCGGAAAAGUGCGAGAAAGUGAUUCUCGCAAUUCCGUCAUCAAAGUAAGGUGGUGGCUUUCCCGAAGUGAUUACGGUUCCUUCCUGCCAAAGAAAAUAUGGUUUUCAUAUGCGCUAUAUGACUAUGAUUUCGACAUCAUGGACUAAUGGUCUAAUAUAUAUGUAUAUGAAUAGCUACAUUGAUAAAUGGAAUAUAUGAGCAAUUAUGAUCAAUACUAAUGAUGUAUAAUAUAAUCCGAUGAGAACAUGCUAUAGGCAUAUGNNNNNNNNNNNNNNNNNNNNNNNNNCAGUACCAAGUAAAGGUGGGUUGUGCUUUACCGAAGUGAUUAGGUCACUUCCAUGCCAAAGUAAAAUAUGGUUUCAUUUGACGCAUAUAUGACUAUGAUUGUCGACAUAUGGACGUAAUGCUAAUAUAUAUGUAUAUGAAUAGGCAUACAUGAUUGAUGAUAUAUGAAUGCAUUAUGAUCAAUGCUAGAUGAUGUAUAAUGAUAAUCCGAUGAUGAACAUGCUAGAGGCAUAUGAAUAUGUUGUAGAUCAUGCUAGAUACAUAUAAUUGUCGAUAUGUGAACGUGAAAGUUAAAUGCAUAAUUAUGCUAAAUUCAUAUGUUCAAAUACAUGAUAUAUCAAUGUUGAACCUGUAAAUGCCAAGGGCAUGGCACGUAAGCUGAAUACGAAUUGUGAACAUAGAAGCUAAAGCCUACAUAAGUGUUGCCACAUAAAAGUGGAAGUUUAAUGCCUAUGUCUAAACAUAUAUAUAAGUGAAUGUAUUAUAGUUCAAGCUAUAUGAAUGUCGAUAAUUCUAAUUGACUGGAAAUCUCGAUGGUAACAAGAUGAGUGAGAAUAUGAAAACUAUGAACCUCAUGUUAAAUCCCUAAGAAUUGGGUAUAAAUCGACAACUCCAGUUGAGUAGAAAUCUUGACGGUGACAAAGUAAAUGAAAAUGUGCAAAUUAUAAUCCUAGGCGUAGAUAACUAGGAUAAUA